UAAGGAAUAUUGCUCAAUGGGAGAAAUCCUGAAGCAGCAACGCCGCGUGGAGGAUGAAGGGUCUAUGACUUGUAAACUCCUGUAAAGAAGGAAAAAAUUCCCAUUUGAUGGGAGAUGAUGGUACUUCUGGAGUAAGCCCCGGCUAACUACGUGCCUGCAGCCGCGGUAAUACGUAGGGGGCAAGCGUUGUCCGGAUUUACUGGGUGUAAAGGGUGCUCAGGCGGAUUUGUAAGUCAGAGGUGAAAUCUUACAGCUUAACUGUGAAACUGCCUUUGAUACUGCAAGCCUAGAGUAUGGAAGAGAGUGAUGGAAUAUCUGGUGUAGCAGUGAAAUGCGUAGAUAUCAGAUAGAACACCAAUGGCGAAGGCAGUCACUUGGUCCAUUACUGACGCUAAAGCACGAAAGCGUGGGUAGCAAACA
RNAcentral lists this ribosomal RNA (420 nucleotides) under uncultured bacterium. RNAcentral describes it as "bacterial SSU rRNA". It matches the Rfam family "Bacterial small subunit ribosomal RNA", at positions 355 to 774 of the family's 1533-position model. The record is from RNAcentral.